This 471-nucleotide ribosomal RNA is filed under the name uncultured Streptococcus sp. Its description in RNAcentral is "bacterial SSU rRNA". It matches the Rfam family "Bacterial small subunit ribosomal RNA", at positions 907 to 1382 of the family's 1533-position model. Lineage: Bacteria; Bacillati; Bacillota; Bacilli; Lactobacillales; Streptococcaceae. The record is from RNAcentral.
UAGAAUUGACGGGGCCGCACAAGCGGUGAGCAUGUGGUUAAUUCGAAGCAACGCGAAGAACCUUACCAGGUCUUGACAUCCCGAUGCUAUUUCUAGAGAUAGAAAGUUACUUCGGUACAUCGGUGACAGGUGGUGCAUGGUUGUCGUCAGCUCGUGUCGUGAGAUGUUGGGUUAAGUCCCGCAACGAGCGCAACCCCUAUUGUUAGUUGCCAUCAUUCAGUUGGGCACUCUAGCGAGACUGCCGGUAAUAAACCGGAGGAAGUGGGGAUGACGUCAAAUCAUCAUGCCCCUUAUGACCUGGGCUACACACGUGCUACAAUGGUUGGUACAACGAGUUGCGAGUCGGUGACGGCGAGCUAAUCUCUUAAAGCCAAUCUCAGUUCGGAUUGUAGGCUGCAACUCGCCUACAUGAAGUCGGAAUCGCUAGUAAUCGCGGAUCAGCACGCCGCGGUCGAAUACGUUCCGGGCCUU